RNAcentral lists this ribosomal RNA (1173 nucleotides) under Enterococcus faecium. RNAcentral describes it as "bacterial SSU rRNA". It matches the Rfam family "Bacterial small subunit ribosomal RNA", at positions 60 to 1205 of the family's 1533-position model. Lineage: Bacteria; Bacillati; Bacillota; Bacilli; Lactobacillales; Enterococcaceae. The record is from RNAcentral.
AGUCGAACGCUUCUUUUUCCACCGGAGCUUGCUCCACCGGAAAAAGAAGAGUGGCGAACGGGUGAGUAACACGUGGGUAACCUGCCCAUCAGAAGGGGAUAACACUUGGAAACAGGUGCUAAUACCGUAUAACAAUCAAAACCGCAUGGUUUUGAUUUGAAAGGCGCUUUCGGGUGUCGCUGAUGGAUGGACCCGCGGUGCAUUAGCUAGUUGGUGAGGUAACGGCUCACCAAGGCCACGAUGCAUAGCCGACCUGAGAGGGUGAUCGGCCACAUUGGGACUGAGACACGGCCCAAACUCCUACGGGAGGCAGCAGUAGGGAAUCUUCGGCAAUGGACGAAAGUCUGACCGAGCAACGCCGCGUGAGUGAAGAAGGUUUUCGGAUCGUAAAACUCUGUUGUUAGAGAAGAACAAGGAUGAGAGUAACUGUUCAUCCCUUGACGGUAUCUAACCAGAAAGCCACGGCUAACUACGUGCCAGCAGCCGCGGUAAUACGUAGGUGGCAAGCGUUGUCCGGAUUUAUUGGGCGUAAAGCGAGCGCAGGCGGUUUCUUAAGUCUGAUGUGAAAGCCCCCGGCUCAACCGGGGAGGGUCAUUGGAAACUGGGAGACUUGAGUGCAGAAGAGGAGAGUGGAAUUCCAUGUGUAGCGGUGAAAUGCGUAGAUAUAUGGAGGAACACCAGUGGCGAAGGCGGCUCUCUGGUCUGUAACUGACGCUGAGGCUCGAAAGCGUGGGGAGCAAACAGGAUUAGAUACCCUGGUAGUCCACGCCGUAAACGAUGAGUGCUAAGUGUUGGAGGGUUUCCGCCCUUCAGUGCUGCAGCUAACGCAUUAAGCACUCCGCCUGGGGAGUACGACCGCAAGGUUGAAACUCAAAGGAAUUGACGGGGGCCCGCACAAGCGGUGGAGCAUGUGGUUUAAUUGGAAGCAACGGGAAGAACCUUACCAGGUCUUGACAUCCUUUGACCACUCUAGAGAUAGAGCUUCCCCUUCGGGGGCAAAGUGACAGGUGGUGCAUGGUUGUCGUCAGCUCGUGUCGUGAGAUGUUGGGUUAAGUCCCGCAACGAGCGCAACCCUUAUUGUUAGUUGCCAUCAUUCAGUUGGGCACUCUAGCAAGACUGCCGGUGACAAACCGGAGGAAGGUGGGGAUGACGUCAAAUCAUCAUGCCCCUUAU